CUUGACGAUCAUAGAGCGUUGGAACCACCUGAUCCCUUCCCGAACUCAGAAGUGAAACGACGCAUCGCCGAUGGUA
RNAcentral lists this ribosomal RNA (76 nucleotides) under Pseudomonas aeruginosa. RNAcentral also lists the same sequence under 1 other name. Lineage: Bacteria; Pseudomonadati; Pseudomonadota; Gammaproteobacteria; Pseudomonadales; Pseudomonadaceae. The record is from RNAcentral.